Molecule: non-coding RNA, 349 nt
Organism: Phascolarctos cinereus (koala)
Lineage: Eukaryota; Metazoa; Chordata; Mammalia; Diprotodontia; Phascolarctidae
Source: the annotation of a RefSeq genome assembly
GAUAAUGGAGAAGCCCCUAAGGACUUCAUUAGUGAUCAUGUGGUUUCUGCUAAAAUGGGUGAGCUGCCAACAGAGAGUGGAUCAGAAUCCUCUGUUUUUUACUGCCCGGGAGGGACAGAAUAUCACUAUUCACUGCACUUAUUCAGAAGAAGGUUCUCAAAACCUACACUGGUUCAAGCAGGAUCCUGGGAAAAGCCUCACUUCACUAUUUUACGUAACUACAGAGGAGAAGCAGAAUGGAAGGUUAAGAUCCACGAUCAGCAGGAAGGACCGUCAGAGCUCCCUGCACAUCACUGGUGCCCAGGCUGAAGACUCAGCCACCUACCUCUGUGCUGUGGGGCCACAGUGA